RNAcentral lists this ribosomal RNA (625 nucleotides) under uncultured bacterium. RNAcentral's name for it is "bacterial SSU rRNA". It matches the Rfam family "Bacterial small subunit ribosomal RNA", at positions 51 to 768 of the family's 1533-position model. The record is from RNAcentral.
ACACAUGCAAGUCGAGGGACCGGCGCACGGGUGAGUAACACGUAUCCAACCUUCCGUUUACUCAGGGAUAGCCUUUCGAAAGAAAGAUUAAUACCUGAUAGUAAACGAUGGGGAUGCGUUCCAUUAGGUAGUAGGCGGGGUAACGGCCCACCUAGCCGACGAUGGAUAGGGGUUCUGAGAGGAAGGUCCCCCACAUUGGAACUGAGACACGGUCCAAACUCUACGGGAGGCAGCAGUGAGGAAUAUUGGUCAAUGGGCGAGAGCCUGAACCAGCCAAGUAGCGUGAAGGAUGAAGGUCUACGGAUUGUAAACUUCUUUUAUACGGGAAUAUGUACCGUAUGAAUAAGCAUCGGCUAACUCCGUGCCAGCAGCCGCGGUAAUACGGAGGAUGCGAGCGUUAUCCGGAUUUAUUGGGUUUAAAGGGAGCGCAGACGGGAGAUUAAGUCAGUUGUGAAAGUUUGCGGCUCAACCGUAAAAUUGCAGUUGAUACUGGUUUCCUUGAGUGCAGUUGAGGCAGGCGGAAUUCGUGGUGUAGCGGUGAAAUGCUUAGAUAUCACGAAGAACCCCGAUUGCGAAGGCAGCUUGCUAAACUGUAACUGACGUUCAUGCUCGAAAGUGUGGGUAU